Molecule: ribosomal RNA, 874 nt
Filed under: uncultured archaeon
Lineage: Archaea
Description: bacterial SSU rRNA
Rfam family: Archaeal small subunit ribosomal RNA
Source: RNAcentral
ACCCGACUGCUAUCAGAGUGGGACUAAGCCAUGCGAGUCGACACAGCAAUGUGUGGCAUACGGCUCAGUAACACGUAGUCAACAUGCCCAGGGGACGUGGAUAACCUCGGGAAACUGAGGAUAAACCGCGAUAGGUCACUACUUCUGGAAUGGGUAAUGACCCAAACCUAUAUGGCCCCUGGAUUGGACUGCGGCCGAUCAGGCUGUUGGUGAGGUAAUGGCCCACCAAACCUGUAACCGGUACGGGCUCUGAGAGGAGGAGCCCGGAGAUGGGCACUGAGACAAGGGCCCAGGCCCUAUGGGGCGCAGCAGGCGCGAAACCUCUGCAAUAGGCGAAAGCUUGACAGGGUUACUCUGAGUGAUUUCCGUUAAGGAGAUCUUUUGGCACCUCUAAAAAUGGUGCAGAAUAAGGGGUGGGCAAGUCUGGUGUCAGCCGCCGCGGUAAUACCAGCACCCCGAGUGGUCGGGACGUUUAUUGGGCCUAAAGCAUCCGUAGCCGGUUCUACAAGUCUUCCGUUAAAUCCACCUGCUCAAUAGAUGGGCUGCAGAAGAUACUAUGGAGCUAGGGGGCGGGAGAGGCAAGCGGUACUCGAUGGGUAGGGGUAAAAUCCGUUGAUCCAUUGAAGACCACCAGUGGCGAAGGCGGCUUGCCAGAACGCGCUCGACGGUGAGGGAUGAAAGCUGGGGGAGCAAACCGGAUUAGAUACCCGGGUAGUCCCAGCUGUAAACGAUGCAGACUCGGUGAUGAGUUGGCUUUAUGCCAACUCAGUGCCGCAGGGAAGCCGUUAAGUUUGCCGCCUGGGGAGUACGGUCGCAAGACUGAAACUUAAAGGAAUUGGCGGGGGAGCACCACAAGGGGUGAAGCCUGCGGUUC